RNAcentral lists this ribosomal RNA (450 nucleotides) under uncultured bacterium. RNAcentral describes it as "partial 16S ribosomal RNA". It matches the Rfam family "Bacterial small subunit ribosomal RNA", at positions 354 to 796 of the family's 1533-position model. The record is from RNAcentral.
GUGGGGAAUUUUGGACAAUGGGCGCAAGCCUGAUCCAGCAAUGCCGCGUGCAGGAAGAAGGCCUUCGGGUUGUAAACUGCUUUUGUACGGAACGAAAAGCCUCUGGUUAAUACCCGGGGGUCAUGACGGUACCGUAAGAAUAAGCACCGGCUAACUACGUGCCAGCAGCCGCGGUAAUACGUAGGGUGCGAGCGUUAAUCGGAAUUACUGGGCGUAAAGCGUGCACAGGCGGUGAUGUAAGACAGUUGUGAAAUCCCCGGGCUCAACCUGGGAACUGCAUCUGUGACUGCAUUGCUGGAGUGCGGCAGAGGGGGAUGGAAUUCCGCGUGUAGCAGUGAAAUGCGUAGAUAUGCGGAGGAACACCGAUGGCGAAGGCAAUCCCCUGGGCCUGCACUGACGCUCAUGCACGAAAGCGUGGGGAGCAAACAGGAUUAGAUACCCUUGUAGUCC